Long non-coding RNA from Sardina pilchardus (European sardine), 347 nucleotides. RefSeq lists it as uncharacterized. The transcript is spliced from 2 exons. The record is from RefSeq and is a predicted model, not a curated record. NCBI's taxonomy places the organism in Eukaryota, Metazoa, Chordata, Actinopteri, Clupeiformes, Clupeidae.
GACGUCCUAGCUACAUUGUUAGCCAGACUCCAGCCUUCACCGUUCCCCGUAUGGGCUUCUCCUCUGGCCGGUUCCGUGUGUCCGCCGACUUCUCGGAGUGCAGCUAGUCGCUGAGCACGGGCCUUAUGACUGACCACAUCUGAGCGGUAGGUCACGUUAACUGUUUUUAAACUAAUAUGUAAACUUGCGUGGGUUUAAUUGUAUGUUCUUUGUGUAGCAGAUGUCGGGCGUAACAGGGAACGGCAACAUCAAGGCGUCUUGGUCCCAGUUCCGACGACCGCUGCUGUUUUGUCUUGGUUUGUUUGUUUAGUUCUGUUUUGUGUUUGUGUUGGUUUCAUUCCGUUUGU